GGCAUUCUUCUUUUUCUCUUUAACAGAAGGUGGCUUCUGUACAUCUGUUUUUCGAAGGUGCUUCCGACAAUAGGAAGUUGGCGGUGAAAAGACAAGAGCAACAUCUCGGAGAGGAAGCUUCGACUCGGAGGGAAGGGACACGUUGUGAGGAAGCAUGGUUUGGUGAGGUCGACCUCUCCCCUCUCCAACGCUAGCAGCAUCGUUGCCCUUGCGCUCCCCCUAUGCCAUCACGCCCAUUCUUGUUGUGCACAGCAUCACAGGUAUACAAAUGUCGCCGCGACCAUCCCGUUGAAAACUCCUUCUCAGGCUAAUUUUUUUUCGUUGCAACGCACGGGCACAUGUGCUAUGUUUAUUAAAAAUAAAUAUAAAAAUGAUGCACAAUGGCACAUAAAGCAGGUUAUGCCCAUUUUUCUGCCCGGUGCAAUGCACGGGCAUUUGUACUAGUCUCUCCCUAAUAAUAAAGCACGGAUUGACUUUGUCGGGUUCACCGUCACAAUACGCUUUCUUCUCAUGUCAUAAUACGCUUUUACGAUCUGUAUAAACAAAAUCGUAAUAUUAACGAGGUGGUACUAUUCUAACUUGCCCGUAAAUUCGUCCGUAACAGUUUUCGUCCGUCCUUCGAAUUGUAAAAAGAAAUAAACCAGCACGGGCUCUCCUCCUCGAUGCCUACAGGCACGGCGGCGGCGCCGCCGCCCCCACGCGCGGCCGCACGGCCGAUCUUCUUCCCCGACCCCGACCCUUUGCAAUUCUGUCUCCUUCCCCUCUCCAUCUGCCCAAAUCUUCUCCUGCGCCACCCUGAGCCUUCUCGGUCUCCAACCUCCUGCAAUCUUCAAGCCCGCCGGCACCAAAAGCAACCAGCGGUCGAUUCGAGUGACCCCCGCUAGGAAUCCAUGGGAUUUGAGGUGGAUUUCCUAGGAGAGCGAGUAGGAAGGGUGAUGGUGGGGUUCAUGGGGAAGAUGAAGAAGCAGAAGGUGAUCCACGGCCCGCACGCGACGCCGAGCCACCACAGGCCUCCUCCCCUGUCGCUCGCCGCCAUGCCGGGACGGCGUACUGGGCCUUGCCGGAAGCCGAGGACAAGCGAGACAAUGGCCAUCCACCCUGGGCCAAGGACAAGCACAGAGCGACCAGCGGCGAUAACUAUGCUCGGGCAGAUGGAUCCCGCCGCGGCGGAGUUCGAGGAGAACAGUAGCUGUGAUGACUCAACAAGAUGGAAGUGCGGGACAAGGGAUGAGUGCAAUCGGCUCAGGUAAACUCCUCCUGUACACCGUCUGGCAUCAGUUCCAGUUGCGCCCGAAGCUUUCAAGCUCGCUGCUCCACUUAGUUUGCCGAAACACUGUCGGCAUGUGCUCCAUCCAAGGUACGCCAUCGUCCAAUUCUAUCAUCAGUUUUGAACUUUAAACUAAUGACUAAUGGGUCGGAGUGGCCAGGCCUGAAAGUUCAAGGAAGAUUCAGCUUACAUCUGAAUUCCUUUGUAUUGCCUACAAUGUUAUAGCUUAAAUUCUGCUAAUAAAUUUCUAUCAAUGAUGUUCCAAACAAUUUCUUAGAGAUGGGUUGUGCACAAGGAUGCACAUUGUAGAUCUGUUAACUUAAGUUUUGAAUAAUGAGAUAUGUUCAUAUGCUUUGCUCACUAUUAUUCCUAAUUUUCUCUGGACAUAAAGACUGAAGUUUAUUGCUUUUGUUCAGCCCAAUGCUACUUGAUCAGUACUUAACCAAGAUUGGCAGCCAUUAUAGCUGGUGUAGAACUCAGAUAUACACACUGAAUGUUCCGAUAUGCCAAAAUAAACACAUUAGAAUCUUUUUAAUUAUAUUCCUACUAUUUUUUCGAGAUUGCUCUGCGGUAGCUAAUUUUGAUGUUCUGCUAUACUACUAUUGCAUAUAGAGAGAGAUCAGAGAGGAGAGCAGCAGCCCGCUGCUGCAAUUUUGUUCAUGCUGCUGCUUGGUUACUACACAUCUAUACAGAGAACACAGAGAAGGCUGCUGCUUGCUGAUUACAAUUGCUUCAUGAUAUGUACAUAUCCUUAUGUAUGCUGCUGCUAUGUACCCUUGAUCAUGGUGACAAGGAAUUGAUGCUGCAGCGGUAGGGAUCUGGUGGCCAUGGAGUGGCAGCCGCUACGUACAUACAUAACUCCAGCGAGUCAUGGAGACGAAAUAAAGCGAAAAAGAAAUUUCUAUGAAGGAUCUCUAGGGAGAUUUGGCACAUGAAGUUAAGGUUUGGUACAUUCGAUCUCCAAAAGAUAUGGUGAGACAUCUGAAUUAUGUUUCAUCUUCACAGACUAAUAUGACAUUUUACCUGGCUAUUUUCCCCAUUUGUUGCUGUAGCUAAUAGUGUUGAUAUAUAUCCCAUUGUAGUGCAUUCAUUUGUAAAUAAGGAUUUUAUGACCUUUGUUUGUGUUCCUGUCAUUAUCAUUAAGCUUGCCUCAUGUAAUUGUUAGCACUGCAAUCAGAUAUAAUAUUAAAUAUUUGUUGCAAUCAGAUAGUAUAUUAUCCUUCGAGUGAUCAUAGAUGUUCAAAAUGAUGUUUGUUACCACCAUGAGUUGUACUUUGCAAUCUUAGGAUAUACGACAUCUGUUUACCGCAGUAUAUUGCUACCAAAGCCCCUAUCUAUAUCACAUUUAAAAAGUAUUCUCUCGUGGCUUUGUAAGAUUUUCCUUUAUGCAAAUUAGAUUGCUUAUUAAUAGCAUUCAUAUUUCAAAUAUUCAUUGAUAUGAAUAACCAUGUAUAGACCACGAAAUGUAGUUGAUACACACGAGCCAUACAACGUUAGAUAUGAUUCUUACCUAAAUCCAGGGAAUGGCUGUAUUAAGUUAUUCAUGAUCCGAAAUGUUAUCCAUGUGAAUGUUUAUUUUGCAAUCUGUUGUAAAGCUAGGAAAUUUGUUGGCAAUAGUUUUUGUGUCGAGGUUCUUCUGUUUAGAUUCUAACUGAUAUGUAAGGGCAUACCGAUGAAUCAAAUAUUUAGAUGUUUUUUUCUUUUUGAGACUUUGAACUUCAGGGGUGGGGGUGUCUUCAGUCAUGCUUAUUGGAUUAGGAUCUAGGACCGUGAGCUAUUUUCUAAAGUCAUGUUGCAACGCACGGGCAUGUUUGCUAAUUUUUAGAAAAAUGCAUCGGGCAAAUUCAUAAUUAAAAAUUAAGAGCCUUUCGUUGAGUGUCAUCAAAGAUGCCUUGAAGGUCU
This is a non-coding RNA of Aegilops tauschii subsp. strangulata, 3169 nucleotides long. NCBI's taxonomy places the organism in Eukaryota, Viridiplantae, Streptophyta, Magnoliopsida, Poales, Poaceae. The record is from RefSeq and is a predicted model, not a curated record.